RNAcentral lists this long non-coding RNA (1715 nucleotides) under Homo sapiens (human). RNAcentral's name for it is "HSALNT0371715". Lineage: Eukaryota; Metazoa; Chordata; Mammalia; Primates; Hominidae. The record is from RNAcentral.
CAGGCAUGGCACAGAAAAGGCCGGCCCUGCCCUGAAGCCAACAGAGGCAAAGGGCUCAAGAAGAUGGCAGAGACUUCUGCCCCGAUAGGCAGCGUUGCCUCAAGUCAUCAACUCCUGACCUUUUCCGCUUUCUGUGUCAUUUAAUGGAGCUGUGUAUUUUUUCCAACUCGAUUUCAUUGAAUUUCUGCAUUUGUAAAGGAAAGGGUGAUUAGCACUGUGAUGACGGAUACAGAGAUGGAUUCGGGGGUUGCACGCCUCACCCUGGAGGUGCUCGCAACGGGCUCCCCGGCAUCACCACCACGCAGCGCCUGUGCUGGGGGUGCCCACCCUGCAGAGCCCCACCAUCCCCCCGGUGUCUGCUCAGCCCUCGCCCUGCACCCACACGCCCCUGAAGCCUGGGCGGGCUGCCGCCUGUUGGAUUUGUUUCAAGGUGCAAAGGAGCUGCAGUUGGAGAAGCUCUGCCUCGGUGCCUCCUCUCUCCUGAACACCAGGUUUUCCAUAACUUGGCAGCAGCAUCUGACUUCCAAGGACGGCCCAAUCAGAGCCCUUUCUUGAGAAUUUGGGAACCUGUCAUGACCUUUCACCACCAGAAAAGACCACCCUGACUGAUGAAUCUGGGCAAGUUACCACUGUACGGAUUGUGAGGUCGGUGACCGAAACUGCCGUUGAUCACAUGAAUAUAUAAAUGAAGAAAUAAAUGACAGAACCCAUGAGAAGAUGCUUGCUCGUGGAUUUUAAAUUUCCUAUUGGCUAGUCUGGAAUCACUUGGGGGUAGAACAAGAUAAAGUUGGCUGUAUCACCUAUGCAAACAUGGUAACAACAGCACAUUGACAUUAGAAAGUAAAACACUCAGUAUUCUAUGCAACAAGUUGGCAGAUUACAACCCAUGGGCCAGCUGCGUGCUUUUGUAAAUAAAGUUUUAUUGGAAAGCGGCCAUGCCCCUUCAUCUAAUGUGUUAUAGUGGCGGAAUUAACUUGCUGUGACAGAGACUGUAAGUCCCCAAAAGCCUAAAGUAUUUACUGUCUGGCUGUAUACAGAAAAAGUUUGCCAACCCCUGAUCUAUGCUAAAUACCUAUUACUGUCAUUGUUUAACAGCUGGAAACGGAAGCCACCUUAGUUAUUUUAGGGAGAAAGGGAAUUUAAUAAAGGGAAUUGGCAGUUUAUAAAAGCAGUGGAAGGACUGUAGUUGAGGACAGCACCCAAGACCUCCAGAAAUAGCUCCUAGAACAACCCCACAGAACCAGGCAAGGCAGGGAGUGCCUCCCCUUAGGGGUGAGGGAAACAGUACAUACUACACUCUGGGACCAGGAAGCCACGCCUAUGGUCCCCAUAACUGCCUCUGGGCACCUGUGGAUUUAGAAACUGUGCACUGGCCUCAAAUGCAAAAACAAUUUCCAUCCCCUCUCUAAUGAUGUUGCCUGUAGGAACAUUACAGUGGGUAGCUAGUCGGGCAUGAGCAGGCAGGAGAGGGCUCCCCGCCACACAGACACACAUACACCAGGAGUGUUGGGGGCCAUCAGGUGGUGGUCAGGAGGUUGUUAACUGUCUCUCGAAAGUAAUAACUGAUCACAGCCAACACCAGGGAAAGGCAGGCUCCUAAUAGAUAGAAAACAGGUGAAACUCAUCAGCAGUUUCCCAAUAAGAUCCUGGGAGUGGGGGAAGAGACACCAGACCCCGGGAGUAGCCAACGAAUAAAACCCAAGUCAAACAGUCAA